RNAcentral lists this transfer RNA (116 nucleotides) under Acidobacteriota bacterium. RNAcentral's name for it is "tRNA-OTHER". The stretch from base 42 to 113 matches the Rfam family "tRNA". From Rfam's summary of the family: Transfer RNA (tRNA) molecules are approximately 80 nucleotides in length. Their secondary structure includes four short double-helical elements and three loops (D, anti-codon, and T loops). Further hydrogen bonds mediate the characteristic L-shaped molecular structure. tRNAs have two regions of fundamental functional importance: the anti-codon, which is responsible for specific mRNA codon recognition, and the 3' end, to which the tRNAs corresponding amino acid is attached (by aminoacyl-tRNA synthetases). tRNAs cope with the degeneracy of the genetic code in two manners: having more than one tRNA (with a specific anti-codon) for a particular amino acid; and 'wobble' base-pairing, i.e. permitting non-standard base-pairing at the 3rd anti-codon position. The record is from RNAcentral. Lineage: Bacteria; Pseudomonadati; Acidobacteriota.
GCGGCCUAAACUGUUGAUUUAAUUACUAAUACCCAAUAGUCGUCGUUAUUCCAAAUUCUCGUGGAACCUGAUUGUGGUUCAGGAGGUCGAGGGUUCGAAUCCCUCUAGCCGCCCCA